GUGUCAGCCGCCGCGGUAAUACAGAGGGUGCGAGCGUUGUCCGGAAUCACUGGGCGUAAAGGGCGCGUAGGUGGCGAAGCAAGUCAGUGGUGAAAGCUCGACGCUCAACGUCGAGUCGGCCACUGAUACUGCCUCGCUCGAGCACUGUAGAGGCUCAUGGAAUUCCGGGUGUAGCGGUGGAAUGCGUAGAGAUCCGGAAGAACACCGGUGGCGAAGGCGGUGAGCUGGGCAGUUGCUGACACUGAGGCGCGACAGCGUGGGGAGCAAACAGGAUUAGAUACCCGUGUAGUCC
This 292-nucleotide ribosomal RNA is filed under the name uncultured bacterium. Its description in RNAcentral is "partial 16S ribosomal RNA". It matches the Rfam family "Bacterial small subunit ribosomal RNA", at positions 505 to 796 of the family's 1533-position model. The record is from RNAcentral.